This 160-nucleotide transfer RNA is filed under the name Neopsylla mana. RNAcentral's name for it is "partial tRNA-Lys". The record is from RNAcentral. Lineage: Eukaryota; Metazoa; Arthropoda; Insecta; Siphonaptera; Ctenophthalmidae.
UUCAUAAGAUGACUGAAAGCAAGUUCUGGUCUCUUAAACCAUAUAAUAGUAUUUAGCGAAUACUUCUUAUGAAAGGUUUAGUUAAUUCAUAACAUUAGAGUGUCAGACUAAAAUUACCUAGAGGUAAUCUUUAAUCCCUCAAAUAGUACCUAUAAGAUGA